RNAcentral lists this ribosomal RNA (672 nucleotides) under uncultured Bacilli bacterium. RNAcentral's name for it is "bacterial SSU rRNA". It matches the Rfam family "Bacterial small subunit ribosomal RNA", at positions 86 to 744 of the family's 1533-position model. Lineage: Bacteria; Bacillati; Bacillota; Bacilli. The record is from RNAcentral.
AAAAGAAGAGUGGCGAACGGGUGAGUAACACGUGGGUAACCUGCCCAUCAGAAGGGGAUAACACUUGGAAACAGGUGCUAAUACCGUAUAACAAUCAAAACCGCAUGGUUUUGAUUUGAAAGGCGCUUUCGGGUGUCGCUGAUGGAUGGACCCGCGGUGCAUUAGCUAGUUGGUGAGGUAACGGCUCACCAAGGCCACGAUGCAUAGCCGACCUGAGAGGGUGAUCGGCCACAUUGGGACUGAGACACGGCCCAAACUCCUACGGGAGGCAGCAGUAGGGAAUCUUCGGCAAUGGACGAAAGUCUGACCGAGCAACGCCGCGUGAGUGAAGAAGGUUUUCGGAUCGUAAAACUCUGUUGUUAGAGAAGAACAAGGAUGAGAGUAACUGUUCAUCCCUUGACGGUAUCUAACCAGAAAGCCACGGCUAACUACGUGCCAGCAGCCGCGGUAAUACGUAGGUGGCAAGCGUUGUCCGGAUUUAUUGGGCGUAAAGCGAGCGCAGGCGGUUUCUUAAGUCUGGUGUGAAAGCCCCCGGCUCAACCGGGGAGGGUCAUUGGAAACUGGGAGACUUGAGUGCAGAAGAGGAGAGUGGAAUUCCAUGUGUAGCGGUGAAAUGCGUAGAUAUAUGGAGGAACACCAGUGGCGAAGGCGGCUCUCUGGUCUGUAACUGAC